Molecule: ribosomal RNA, 551 nt
Filed under: uncultured Acidobacteriota bacterium
Lineage: Bacteria; Pseudomonadati; Acidobacteriota
Description: bacterial SSU rRNA
Rfam family: Bacterial small subunit ribosomal RNA
Source: RNAcentral
UGGGGAAUUGUUCGCAAUGGGCGCAAGCCUGACGACGCAACGCCGCGUGGAGGACGAAGAUCUUCGGGUCGUAAACUCCUGUCGAGUGGGAAGAACGCUUCGGGGGCGAAUAUCCUCCGGAAUUGACGGUACCACUAAAGGAAGCCCCGGCUAACUCCGUGCCAGCAGCCGCGGUAAUACGGGGGGGGCAAGCGUUGUUCGGAAUUACUGGGCGUAAAGGGCUCGUAGGCGGCCAACUAAGUCGGAUGUGAAAUCCCCAGGCUUAACCUGGGAACUGCAUCCGAUACUGGAUGGCUUGAAUUCGGGAGAGGGAUGCAGAAUUCCAGGUGUAGCGGUGAAAUGCGUAGAUAUCUGGAGGAAUACCGGUGGCGAAGGCGGCAUCCUGGACCGAGAUUGACGCUGAUGAGCGAAAGCUAGGGGAGCAAACGGGAUUAGAUACCCCGGUAGUCCUAGCCCUAAACGAUGAAUGCUUGGUGUGGCGGGUAUCGAUCCCUGCCGUGCCGAAGCUAACGCAUUAAGCAUUCCGCCUGGGGAGUACGGUCGCAAGGCUG